UUCCUUGUGACGCAAUAGGAACUCGUCCUUUCCGUCGACCUACCGUGAGUUGAACAUGUCGCAUACGUCUGAGCGAAGAAACGAUGAUCAAUGGUCAGGAGAUUCCAAAAAUGGUCCUAGUGAAAGUGAACAAUCGUCAUAUGAAGGGCCCUCUGGCAUGGACCCAGGUGGGAUCAUCGAAACGAAUUGGGAUGUUGUCAUCGACAACUUUGAUGAAAUGCACUUAAAAGAAGAACUCCUCCGUGGUAUUUACGCUUAUGGCUUUGAAAAACCAUCUGCAAUUCAACAACGUGCCAUUCUGCCAUGCAUAAAAGGACACGAUGUGAUUGCACAGGCACAGUCAGGAACUGGCAAGACUGCUACAUUUUCAAUCUCCAUUUUACAACAAAUCGACACUAGCAUCAAGGACUGUCAAGCUUUGAUCCUAGCCCCAACUCGUGAGCUUGCUCAACAAAUCCAAAAAGUGGUUAUCGCUUUGGGAGAUUUCAUGCAUGCCGAAUGCCAUGCAUGCAUUGGUGGUACCAAUGUACGCGAGGAUAUGCGGAAACUCGAUCAAGGUGUUCACAUAGUAGUUGGCACACCUGGUAGAGUUUACGAUAUGAUUAGUCGGCGUGCGCUACGGGCCAGUAGUAUCAAACUGUUUGUACUGGAUGAAGCUGAUGAAAUGCUUUCUCGCGGUUUCAAGGAACAGAUUCACGAUGUAUUCAAAUUAUUACCUCAGGAAGUGCAGGUUAUAUUGUUAUCUGCUACAAUGCCAACUGAUGUCUUGGAAGUGUCUACAUGCUUUAUGCGAAAUCCAAUUCGUAUACUGGUGAAAAAGGAAGAGCUCACGCUGGAGGGUAUUAAACAGUUCUUCGUCAAUGUCGAGCGCGAAGAGUGGAAAUUUGAAACUCUGUGCGACUUGUACGAUACAUUAAGUAUUACUCAGGCAGUUAUUUUCUGCAAUACACGGCGUAAAGUAGAUUGGCUAACGGAAAAUAUGCGCACUCGUGAUUUCACGGUUUCUGCGAUGCAUGGAGAUAUGGAGCAGAAAGAACGAGACCUGAUCAUGAGACAGUUCAGAACUGGAUCGUCUCGUGUCCUCAUAACUACGGAUCUUUUAGCGCGUGGUAUUGAUGUUCAACAGGUUUCGCUUGUCAUCAAUUACGAUUUACCUUCCAACCGUGAAAAUUAUAUUCAUAGAAUCGGUCGAGGCGGUCGUUUCGGUCGUAAAGGAGUGGCUAUUAACUUCGUAACAGACGACGACAAACGGGCCUUAAAAGAUAUUGAACAAUUCUAUAACACUCACAUCGAUGAAAUGCCAAUGAAUGUCGCAGAUUUAAUCUAAAAUCUGGCUAUUGGCUAUAAUUCAUUAUAAUUACAAAAAAAGAAAUAAAAGCAAUUUUGAGCAGUCCAGAAAUGAGGGAGAUAUUUUUGGAAAUAAAGACCAAAUUUCGUGAUUCA
RNAcentral lists this unclassified non-coding RNA (1443 nucleotides) under Dufourea novaeangliae. Its description in RNAcentral is "aTP-dependent RNA helicase eIF4A, transcript variant X1". Lineage: Eukaryota; Metazoa; Arthropoda; Insecta; Hymenoptera; Halictidae. The record is from RNAcentral.